RNAcentral lists this ribosomal RNA (482 nucleotides) under uncultured bacterium. RNAcentral describes it as "partial 16S ribosomal RNA". It matches the Rfam family "Bacterial small subunit ribosomal RNA", at positions 28 to 523 of the family's 1533-position model. The record is from RNAcentral.
AGUGAACGUUGGCGGCGUGGAUUAGGCAUGCGAGUCGAGCGAGAACCGUAGCAAUACGGGGACAGCGGCGAAAGGGACAGUAAUAUGUAGGUACCUACCCUCGGGUCCGGGAUAGCUGCGGGAAACUGCAGGUAAUACCGGAUGAUAUCUCCGGAUCAAAGGUGUGAUUCCGCCCGGGGAGGGGCCUGCAUCCUAUUAGCUUGUUGGUGGGCAACCGGCCUACCAAGGCGACGAGGGGUAGCGGGUGUGAGAGCAUGACCCGCGUCCUUGGGACUGAGAAACUGCCCAGACACCUACGGGUGGCUGCAGUCGAGAAUCUUCGGCAAUGGGGGCAACCCUGACCGAGCGACGCCGCGUGCGGGAUGAAGGCCUUCGGGUUGUAAACCGCUGUCUUAGAGGAGGAAAUGCAGGGGGGUUCUCCCCUCUGUUUGACCUAUGCUAGGAGUAAGGACGGGCUAAGUUCGUGCCAGCCGCCGCCGUAA